Molecule: ribosomal RNA, 466 nt
Filed under: uncultured bacterium
Lineage: Bacteria
Description: partial 16S ribosomal RNA
Rfam family: Bacterial small subunit ribosomal RNA
Source: RNAcentral
GAUGAACGCUGGCGGCGUGCUUAACACAUGCAAGUCGAACGGUGAAAGGGAGCUUGCUCUCUGGAUCAGUGGCGAACGGGUGAGUAACACGUGAGCAAUCUGCCCCUGACUCUGGGAUAAGCGCUGGAAACGGCGUCUAAUACCGGAUACGAGCUGCGAAGGCAUCUUCAGCAGCUGGAAAGAACUUCGGUCAGGGAUGAGCUCGCGGCCUAUCAGCUAGUUGGUGAGGUAACGGCUCGCCAAGGCGUCGACGGGUAGCCGGCCUGAGAGGGUGACCGGCCACACUGGGACUGAGACACGGCCCAGACUCCUACGGGAGGCAGCAGUGGGGAAUAUUGCACAAUGGGCGAAAGCCUGAUGCAGCAACGCCGCGUGAGGGACGACGGCCUUCGGGUUGUAAACCUCUUUUAGCAGGGAAGAAGCGAAAGUGACGGUACCUGCAGAAAAAGCACCGGCUAACUACGUG